UGGAUGAUGUGGAUAAUUCGAUGCAACGCGAAAACCUUACACCUUGACAUGUCCGGAAUCCCGAAGAGAUUUGGGAGUGCUCCCAAGAGAACCGGAACACAGGUGCUGCAUGGCUGUCGUCAGCUCGUGUCGUGAGAUGUUGGGUUAAGUCCCGCAACGAGCGCAACCCUUGUCAUUAGUUGCCAUCAUUUGGUUGGGCACUCUAAUGAGACUGCCGGUGACAAACCGGAGGAAGGUGGGGAUGACGUCAAGUCCUCAUGGCCCUUAUGGGUAGGGCUUCACACGUCAUACAAUGGUCGGUACAGAGGGUUGCCAACCCGCGAGGGGGAGCUAAUCCCACAAAGCCGAUCGUAGUCCGGAUCGCAGUCUGCAACUCGACUGCGUGAAGUCGGAAUCGCUAGUAAUCGUGGAUCAGCAUGUCACGGUGAAUACGUUCCCGGGUCUU
RNAcentral lists this ribosomal RNA (445 nucleotides) under uncultured Rhodocyclaceae bacterium. RNAcentral describes it as "bacterial SSU rRNA". It matches the Rfam family "Bacterial small subunit ribosomal RNA", at positions 933 to 1382 of the family's 1533-position model. Lineage: Bacteria; Pseudomonadati; Pseudomonadota; Betaproteobacteria; Rhodocyclales; Rhodocyclaceae. The record is from RNAcentral.